UGAAGAAUCAAAUCGAUCCUCUUCAGUUCACCUGAAACUGUAAAACAGAAGAGACAAAUGAACUAUGCUAUCUCCUCCUUUCUUAUCUCUUCUCCUCGUUUAUUAAGGAGAGUCUCUCUCCAGCCGACAUCUUUUCUCGAUCUGCCUCUAUCAUACAUUUUUCUUCGGUUUACCUAUAUAUGAAGACAGGCUUGCGAAACAAACUCAUCAUCGGAAUUUUCGUCAUCAUCUCCAAAGGAAACUGCUUCAUUAAAUCGAAGAUUCGAGUGAAAAACCCCAGCUUCUGAAGUUAUACAAAAGCAAUGGAAGAGGCGAUCAAGAGUUCACAAUUUCCAUCCUAGGUAGUUGGUCGAAUACAACCAAUUGGAGACUUCCAUGUUCUGACUAUCUUCACACGGAUUGUAGGCUGCUUUUUGCCGCGAACCAAGGCAUCCAAACAGUUGUAGGGAGACAUCGUAAAGACAGGGUAAGAUGUUUAGUUCUUUGUUAUUUCUGAAUGUUUAGUAUUUAGUUUCGAGGCCAUAAUAUACAACCAAAUAUACCAUAUAUUGAUAUAAUUUACUUGGCACACACAUUUUGUGAUUAUAGAAUGUUCGUUUCAAUAUAGCAAGCCAUAUAGAAUUAUUUCCGUUAGCAUAUAAAAUAUGUAGUCUUCGUAUAUAUGAAUAUAUAAAGAAUAUACUCUAUGAUCUAUAAUUUACGCCGUUAAAAAAAAAAAAAAGAUCUAUAAUUUACUUGGCACACAAUUGAUUGCAUUUAUUAUUAACCUUGCAGGAAACUCUGAGAAUUAUUAUACAAUGGACAUAAGAAUAUUCAUUUCAGACUUAAUAAAGAUGGAGGAGUGCACAUAAGGAAGUGUGUAAAUUAGAGCCUAAAGAUAAGUGCUCUAGACCAUAGAAACGUUAAUAUACAUAAGUUGUUUUAAAUGAAUAAUAAAAUGAAAGUCUCAUUUUAAUAAUUUUUAACAAAUCGGUUAUAUUGUUUUUUUUUCAGGAAACAGUUAUCAAUAAUAUUAAAGGCCCAAAGAAAAUGAAAGCUCAAAUCAAUGUAACAAUACAACCACAACAGUGAAUACUACCACGACAGUCAAUAUCUCUUUCAUAAUGUUACGAUGCAGAGCUUAAACCUCGCGGGACAGUUGAUUAGGAACAGUAUGCAAAUCAGGAAUCUUAAUAAUGCAUCGAAUAUUAUAGACAGGGUUUAAAGCAAACCAACGAUAACCGGUGAUUUUUUAAUCUUGGAGCAAUAAGGAAGCCAAGAAUAUCACGUCCCAUGGAAAUUACACUGACGUUCGAUAGAAAAGACACUACUUAAAAAGAAUACUUACAUUAGCGUCGAUGAGUACCAUUUCAAUGGUCAGACCACCGGCGGCUGAGUACUGCCUCCAAAGACGGAUGAUCUUAACUCGGAUUCUCCACAUGGACUUGAAAGGCUUAAGCUCAGACACUGUGUUCAUAGUUAUACAAUGUAAAAUAAAUUUAGAACGUUUGUAAUUUGAUAGAGGAUGUGUUUUGAACUCCAUGUAGGCAAAUCCAUUAUAUACUAACAUUGUUUCCAAUGACGAUGGUGGACC
This is a long non-coding RNA of Raphanus sativus (radish), 1573 nucleotides long. RefSeq lists it as uncharacterized. The record is from RefSeq and is a predicted model, not a curated record. Lineage: Eukaryota; Viridiplantae; Streptophyta; Magnoliopsida; Brassicales; Brassicaceae. The transcript is spliced from 6 exons.